CGAACAGGUGAGUAACGCGUGAGGAACCUGCCUCAAAGAGGGGGACAACAGUUGGAAACGACUGCUAAUACCGCAUAAGCCCACGGGUCGGCAUCGACCAGAGGGAAAAGGAGCAAUCCGCUUUGAGAUGGCCUCGCGUCCGAUUAGCUAGUUGGUGAGGUAAUGGCCCACCAAGGCAACGAUCGGUAGCCGGACUGAGAGGUUGAACGGCCACAUUGGGACUGAGACACGGCCCAGACUCCUACGGGAGGCAGCAUG
This 258-nucleotide ribosomal RNA is filed under the name uncultured bacterium. RNAcentral describes it as "partial 16S ribosomal RNA". It matches the Rfam family "Bacterial small subunit ribosomal RNA", at positions 99 to 353 of the family's 1533-position model. The record is from RNAcentral.